CGGCGGACGGGUGAGUAACACGUGGAUAACCUACCUAUAAGACUGGGAUAACUUCGGGAAACCGGAGCUAAUACCGGAUAAUAUAUUGAACCGCAUGGUUCAAUAGUGAAAGACGGUUUUGCUGUCACUUAUAGAUGGAUCCGCGCCGCAUUAGCUAGUUGGUAAGGUAACGGCUUACCAAGGCGACGAUGCGUAGCCGACCUGAGAGGGUGAUCGGCCACACUGAAACUGAGACACGGUCCAG
This 244-nucleotide ribosomal RNA is filed under the name uncultured Staphylococcus sp. Its description in RNAcentral is "partial 16S ribosomal RNA". It matches the Rfam family "Bacterial small subunit ribosomal RNA", at positions 96 to 334 of the family's 1533-position model. Lineage: Bacteria; Bacillati; Bacillota; Bacilli; Caryophanales; Staphylococcaceae. The record is from RNAcentral.